Molecule: ribosomal RNA, 253 nt
Filed under: uncultured bacterium
Lineage: Bacteria
Description: partial 16S ribosomal RNA
Rfam family: Bacterial small subunit ribosomal RNA
Source: RNAcentral
UACGAGGGGGGCGAGCGUUGUUCGGAAUUAUUGGGCGUAAAGGGUGCGUAGGCGGUUCCGCAAGUCCUGUGUGAAAUCUUCGGGCUCAACUCGAAGUCUGCACGGGAAACUGCGGGGCUUGAGUGUGGGAGAGGUGAGUGGAAUUCCUGGUGUAGCGGUGAAAUUCGUAGAUAUUGGGAAGAACACCGGUGGCGAAGGCGGCUCUCUGGACCGUAACUGACGCUGAGGCGCGAAAGCGUGGGGAGCAAACAGG